Molecule: small nucleolar RNA, 105 nt
Organism: Zingiber officinale
Lineage: Eukaryota; Viridiplantae; Streptophyta; Magnoliopsida; Zingiberales; Zingiberaceae
Product: small nucleolar RNA snoR97
Exons: 1
Source: RefSeq, a predicted model, not a curated record
UCCUGAUCUUUAGUACUGAUGGCUGAAAAACUCUCAAAUGCUGUGUUGCCAUCAGCUUGAGCUCAUGAUUUUAUGGGCUGCGAGUUAAAUUACAACACUACAUUU